This 486-nucleotide ribosomal RNA is filed under the name uncultured bacterium. Its description in RNAcentral is "bacterial SSU rRNA". It matches the Rfam family "Bacterial small subunit ribosomal RNA", at positions 28 to 507 of the family's 1533-position model. The record is from RNAcentral.
GAUGAACGCUAGCGGGAGGCUUAACACAUGCAAGUCGAGGGGCAUCACGGGUAGCAAUACCUGGUGGCGACCGGCAGACGGGUGAGUAACGCGUAUGUAACCUACCCUGUACAGGGGGAUAACCCGGAGAAAUUCGGACUAAUAUCCCAUAAUGAUAUCUGGGGGCAUCUUCGGAUAUUUAAAGUUCCGGCGGUACAGGAUGGGCAUGCGUAACAUUAGCUAGUUGGUAAGGUAACGGCUUACCAAGGCUUUGAUGUUUAGGGGUCCUGAGAGGGUGGUCCCCCACACUGGUACUGAGACACGGACCAGACUCCUACGGGAGGCAGCAGUGAGGAAUAUUGGUCAAUGGGCGCAAGCCUGAACCAGCCAUCCCGCGUGCAGGAAGACGGCCCUAUGGGUUGUAAACUGCUUUUCCUAGGGAGAGAAACUUGCGUACGCGUUGCGCAAUUGACGGUAUCCUGGGAAUAAGCAUCGGCUAACUCCGUG